RNAcentral lists this small nuclear RNA (129 nucleotides) under Callithrix jacchus (white-tufted-ear marmoset). Its description in RNAcentral is "U4 spliceosomal RNA". It matches the Rfam family "U4 spliceosomal RNA". Rfam says of the family: U4 small nuclear RNA (U4 snRNA) is a component of the major U2-dependent spliceosome. The record is from Rfam by way of RNAcentral. Lineage: Eukaryota; Metazoa; Chordata; Mammalia; Primates; Cebidae.
AACUUUGUGCGGAGGCAGUAUCAUAGCCAAUGAGGUUUAGCCACGGUGCUUAUUGCUAAUUGAAACCUUUUUCCAAUAGCCCACUGUGACAACUUGUAAUACAGUCAGCAUUAAAAAUAAAAUAAUAUG